This 465-nucleotide ribosomal RNA is filed under the name uncultured bacterium. RNAcentral describes it as "partial 16S ribosomal RNA". It matches the Rfam family "Bacterial small subunit ribosomal RNA", at positions 28 to 507 of the family's 1533-position model. The record is from RNAcentral.
GACGAACGCUGGCGGCGUGCUUAACACAUGCAAGUCGAACGGAAAGGCCCUGCUUGCAGGGUACUCGAGUGGCGAACGGGUGAGUAACACGUGGGUGAUCUGCCCUGCACUUCGGGAUAAGUCUGGGCAACUGGGUCUAAUACCGGAUAGGAGCCAUUUUUAGUGUGAUGGUUGGAAAGUUUUUUCGGUGUAGGAUGAGCUCGCGGCCUAUCAGCUUGUUGGUGGGGUAAUGGCCUACCAAGGCGGCGACGGGUAGCCGGCCUGAGAGGGUGGACGGCCACAUUGGGACUGAGAUACGGCCCAGACUCCUACGGGAGGCAGCAGUGGGGAAUAUUGCACAAUGGGCGCAAGCCUGAUGCAGCGACGCCGCGUGGGGGAUGACGGCCUUCGGGUUGUAAACUCCUGUCGCUAGGGACGAAGCUUUUUGUGACGGUACCUAGAUAAGAAGCACCGGCUAACUACGUG